This 1947-nucleotide small RNA is filed under the name Pan troglodytes (chimpanzee). RNAcentral's name for it is "retained intron". The record is from RNAcentral. Lineage: Eukaryota; Metazoa; Chordata; Mammalia; Primates; Hominidae.
UAAUACUCACCAACUUUGAGAAGGUUGGUCUCUGCUCUUCUGUAUACUUUUUAUGAGGCAGUAUCACUUAGGGCUUAAGGUUUAAACUUUCUUUUUCUCUCUGUGUUCAUUUCAUAUUGAGAUUAUGGAUAAAAAGUUUGUUCUGACAUUGCUUAACAUUUUUCUUUAAUCAUGUGAUUACAGAAAUUCAAUGACUUACAAAACAAUAAAUGUACCUUAGAAUGAAAAAUGCAUCAGUAAGGUCUGUAUUUAAAUGUGGAUUUAGACAUCAUAAUUACCAAGACAAGAAAUUGUUUUGAGAAAUUCUCUGAUGUUUUUCUUCUUCAGGUUUCACGUGCCACGAUCAUGGUGCCACGGUACUUCAGUAUGCACCCAAACAGCAACUCCUAAUCUCGGGGGGUAGGAAAGGACACGUCUGCAUUUUUGACAUCAGGCAAAGGCAGCUCAUUCACACGUUCCAGGCCCAUGACUCAGCUAUUAAGGCUCUGGCCUUGGAUCCCUAUGAGGAAUAUUUUACCACAGGUUCAGCAGAAGGUAACAUAAAGGUUUGGAGAUUGACAGGCCAUGGCCUAAUUCAUUCAUUUAAAAGUGAACAUGCUAAGCAGUCCAUAUUUCGAAACAUUGGGGCUGGAGUCAUGCAGAUUGACAUCAUCCAGGGCAAUCGGCUCUUCUCCUGUGGUGCAGAUGGCACGCUGAAAACCAGGGUUUUGCCCAAUGCUUUUAACAUCCCUAACAGAAUCCUUGACAUUCUAUAAAGAUUGGGGUUUUAUUUUUAUAUACAUUUCAGUUAAAAGGCACACUACAGUCAUCACUAGGCAAUUCUGCUUUCUAAGCAGUUGUAUUGAAAACAGAGAAUCUCUGUGUAGAAUUUGAAUAUGACCCAAGCUGAGUAUUAUCUAAACAGGUUGGUGGAAUGAAUGCGCAUGUACCUUAUUAUGCUGACAUACUAAAAAAAAAUAAAACCUAGUAUUGUAUGAAGGAUAGCUAUUCUUUACAGCAUUUAGCAAACCUGAUUCAGAAAACAUUUGAGAUUAGCAAAUUAGUAACUUGAAAUAAUGAAAAGAACGUUUAUACCAAAUUAAGGAAGAAAAUGUUGCUGAUUUGGGUUUUUCUUCCUGUUCUUACCACUGACUGAAGCAUGCCUGCAGUCUCCUCCUCUGUUGAAUGAAGGAUAAUCAUAAGGUGUUUGUUAGGAGCGCUAGACCACCUGGAAAACUUUCUUAGCUGUGGAGCAGUGCGCAGUGACCAGUUCUCUGCUGUGAGAGGCCAUUUCCAUUCUUUCCUGCUGAAUAUUUUUCCUGUUGGUGUUUAUACUGAGCUAGUACUGUAACUUGCAAAUGAGUGCAAAUUUAAAUGCAAUGUUUUACUCACAAUUUGCACAUUCACAUUUUGGACUGCUAGUUUUUCUAUUUAAAUAUUUGCCUUCAUGUUAGGAAUGUACUAUGUGAACAUGACAUAUUUGUAGUUAACCAAACACACCUUCUUAGUCCAGUUUAGUACUUUUUCUUUUCGUGUAUUCAAGGUUAAACACCCAAACAUUUAAGGAUAUGUUGAAACUACACCAAUAGAGCAUUUCAUAUCAUAAUUAAAAUGAAUGUUAGGCUUCUUGUGGCCAGUUAAUAGUUGAUGAGAUUGGUGAUAUUAUUUAUUGCCACAGCCUAUUGUAUAAACUAUGCAGAGUUAAAUAUUUGCUUGUAAAAUAUUAGCCAAUGUUGUCAUUAUUUUGAUGUAUUUCCUUGGUUAUGACCAAAAAUAUGUUGAGAUACUGAAACUAAUGUCUCUGUGUUUAAAUGUUUACCAGCAAAUUGUCUUAUCAUGUUAAUGAGAAUGUUCAAUGCCUGUGUGGUAAAUAGUAAAUACAAUGGCAUAAAAGUAACUUUCUCUGAAGAUGUGAUGUUCAGGCUGUGAAAUAUAUAUGUAAAAGAAAAAUAAAUGUUAUUUGUUAGA